Non-coding RNA from Vicugna pacos (alpaca), 1182 nucleotides. The record is from RefSeq and is a predicted model, not a curated record. Lineage: Eukaryota; Metazoa; Chordata; Mammalia; Artiodactyla; Camelidae.
AGAGGAAGCCGGUGGAGAAGACUCAAUUUGCCUAGGCUUGCAGCGGCUGUUGUCGUCUCCCACAUGGUCUAGCGGUUAGGAUUCCUGGUUUUCACCCAGGCGGCCCGGGUUCGACUCCCGGUGUGGGAACGUGGAACCUUUUUACAGGGGGGAAAAUUAACUUAGGUCCCCUUUUAAUUUAGGAGAAGACUAGUGUUUUUAGAAAACCCUGUAACCGCAUUUCAGAGCAGCCUAGAGAGAUAGAGACCGGAGAGAGUCAAGUCUGCCCUGGAACGAGCUUGAGAACACAGCCAACCCAAACCCGGUCGGCUGGCUGGAGCAGGCGAUGAUACUUGAGAGAUAUGCCAGAGAAUAUGAAGAAAUUCAGAAAUGUUUAAAAAAAAAUCUAUCUUCCUAAGUCUUUAAAGUAAUGCAUUGGGUUGAAUAGUGUCCCAAAGUUCGUGUCCACUUGGAAUCUCAGAUCUGGAACUAGUCUUUGCAGGCGCAAUUAGUUACUAUGAGAGCAUGCUGGAUUAAAGUGGAUCCCAAACCCAAUGAAUGAUGUCCUUUGAGGAGAGCAGAGGACACAGAGAUGCACGCACUGAGAAGAAGGCCACGUGGAGAUGGAGGCGGAGGUUGGAGGGACGAAUCUACAAGACCUGGGAUGGCCGGAGCCGCCAGAAGCUAAGAGGAGCAAGGAAAUAUCCCCCGAAAGCUUUGGACAGAGCUCCUUGAUUUUAAGCUUCUAGCCUCCAGAACUGUGAGGGAAUAAACUUCUGUUGUUUUAAGCCAUCCAGUUUGUGGCAAUUUGUAGUAAUUGCAGCCCUAGGAAACUAAUAAAAAUGGUAAUAUUAUAAUUGCUUUUAGUUUUUUAUUAACACUGGGCUUUUUUAUUAACCCAAGCUUUAGUGCCUGAAACACCCUGCUUUUCAGAACUGGCAUUGACUUGUAGCAAAAGGUUGGCUUUGCCCCGUGCUCGGCCACCACUGGAUUGGCUUCAAACAAAAGGCCACUCAGUUCAGUUCCCACUGCACCAAAAACUGCCACCAAAAAUUCAGUGCCAGGAACAGGUUUCCCACCCGAAGCCCGCACGUGGCAGUAAUGCCGCCUUCAGACCAAAUUCCAAGGCGGGAGGGUUGGGCAGCCUCUGUGGUGGUGGGUAAUGGCUCCCGGUCUCCUAAAUAAAGGUUAGUGACCUCGCCA